Molecule: long non-coding RNA, 278 nt
Filed under: Elaeis guineensis (African oil palm)
Lineage: Eukaryota; Viridiplantae; Streptophyta; Magnoliopsida; Arecales; Arecaceae
Description: long non-coding RNA (EGUI_LNC007237)
Source: RNAcentral
AUUGUUAUAGCCUACAAUGUUUUAUUCUUUAGGGAUUAAUGUAGUCAUAUUGAUUCAAUUAAAAAAUAAAGUAGCUAUCUGUGUGGAAGGUUCUAAAGUAAAACGUGGACCACAUCAUAGCUUCUACAUAUAAAAGCUUGAACCAUAUAUUAGUAGUAUAUUCCCCUAAUGACUAUAUUUUUCUUUAUAGCAUCCAUCGACAUUUGAUUGCAUUGACUCUAAAUACCGAACUUUUUUUUAUACAUGUAUUUUUAAAAUAAUUCCUUGGUAAUAUGCCG